Molecule: transfer RNA, 74 nt
Filed under: Chloroflexota bacterium
Lineage: Bacteria; Bacillati; Chloroflexota
Description: Chloroflexi bacterium tRNA-Val
Rfam family: tRNA
About the family: Transfer RNA (tRNA) molecules are approximately 80 nucleotides in length.
Source: RNAcentral
GGGCGGUUAGCUCAGUUGGUUAGAGCGCGCGCCUUACAAGCGUGAGGUCGCAGAUUCGAGUUCUGCACCGCCCA